CAACCUUGUCCUUAGUUACCAGCACGUUAUGGUGGGCACUCUAAGGAGACUGCCGGUGACAAACCGGAGGAAGGUGGGGAUGACGUCAAGUCAUCAUGGCCCUUACGGCCUGGGCUACACACGUGCUACAAUGGUCGGUACAAAGGGUUGCCAAGCCGCGAGGUGGAGCUAAUCCCAUAAAACCGAUCGUAGUCCGGAUCGCAGUCUGCAACUCGACUGCGUGAAGUCGGAAUCGCUAGUAAUCGUGAAUCAGAAUGUCACGGUGAAUACGUUCCCGGGCCUU
This 283-nucleotide ribosomal RNA is filed under the name uncultured Pseudomonas sp. RNAcentral's name for it is "partial 16S ribosomal RNA". It matches the Rfam family "Bacterial small subunit ribosomal RNA", at positions 1098 to 1382 of the family's 1533-position model. Lineage: Bacteria; Pseudomonadati; Pseudomonadota; Gammaproteobacteria; Pseudomonadales; Pseudomonadaceae. The record is from RNAcentral.